UGCAGUCGAGCGGAGACAGUGAGUAGCUUGCUAUGAGCUGUUUUAGCGGCGGACGGGUGAGUAACGCGUGAGCAACCUUUCCCAGACAGGGGAAUAACACACCGAAAGGUGUACUAAUACCGCAUAAGACCACGGGAUCACAUGGUUCUGAGGUAAAAGAUUUAUCGGUUUGGGGUGGGCUCGCGUCCGAUUAGGUAGUUGGUGAGGCAACGGCCCACCAAGCCGACGAUCGGUAGCCGACCUGAGAGGGUGAUCGGCCACAUUGGGACUGAGACACGGCCCAAACUCCUACGGGAGGCAGCAGUGGGGAAUAUUGGGCAAUGGAGGAAACUCUGACCCAGCAACGCCGCGUGGAGGAAGAAGGUUUUCGGAUCGUAAACUCCUGUCCUUGGAGACGAGUAGAAGACGGUAUCCAAGGAGGAAGCCCCGGCUAACUACGUGCCAGCAGCCGCGGUAAUACGUAGGGGGCAAGCGUUGUCCGGAAUAAUUGGGCGUAAAGGGCGCGUAGGCGGCUCGGUAAGUCUGGAGUGAAAGUCCUGCUUUUAAGGUGGGAAUUGCUUUGGAUACUGUCGGGCUUGAGUGCAGGAGAGGUUAGUGGAAUUCCCAGUGUAGCGGUGAAAUGCGUAGAGAUUGGGAGGAACACCAGUGGCGAAGGCGACUAACUGGACUGUAACUGACGCUGAGGCGCGAAAGUGUGGGGAGCAAACAGGAUUAGAUACCCUGGUAGUCCACACUGUAAACGAUGAAUGCUAGGUGUAGGGGGUAUCGACCCCUUCUGUGCCGCAGUCAACACAAUAAGCAUUCCGCCUGGGGAGUACGGCCGCAAGGUUGAAAC
RNAcentral lists this ribosomal RNA (835 nucleotides) under uncultured bacterium. Its description in RNAcentral is "bacterial SSU rRNA". It matches the Rfam family "Bacterial small subunit ribosomal RNA", at positions 56 to 900 of the family's 1533-position model. The record is from RNAcentral.